AUUGAACGCUGGCGGCAUGCCUUACACAUGCAAGUCGAACGGCAGCACGGGAGCAAUCCUGGUGGCGAGUGGCGAACGGGUGAGUAAUAUAUCGGAACGUGCCCGGUCGUGGGGGAUAACGUAGCGAAAGCUACGCUAAUACCGCAUACGAUCUACGGAUGAAAGCGGGGGGAUCGCAAGACCUCGCGCGAUUGGAGCGGCCGAUAUCAGAUUAGGUAGUUGGUGAGGUAAAGGCUCACCAAGCCGACGAUCUGUAGCUGGUCUGAGAGGACGACCAGCCACACUGGGACUGAGACACGGCCCAGACUCCUACGGGAGGCAGCAGUGGGGAAUUUUGGUACAAUGGGCGCAAGCCUGAUCCAGCAAUGCCGCGUGCAGGA
This 380-nucleotide ribosomal RNA is filed under the name uncultured bacterium. RNAcentral describes it as "bacterial SSU rRNA". It matches the Rfam family "Bacterial small subunit ribosomal RNA", at positions 30 to 408 of the family's 1533-position model. The record is from RNAcentral.